UUGGAGUGGAUUGAGAGGGAA
This 21-nucleotide microRNA is filed under the name Zea mays. RNAcentral describes it as "miRt8". Lineage: Eukaryota; Viridiplantae; Streptophyta; Magnoliopsida; Poales; Poaceae. The record is from RNAcentral.